UAUAAUCUCAACUGACGUAGGGAUGCUGUAAAAAUAUCUUUCUUUCGUCUUCAUCAUCUUGAAAUAAAAUUUUCCAACUGCUCUACGUCGAUGUUACCCUUGACCGUCUGAGAGGGAGGAAUUACUGCUCACGCUAAGUUCGCAGUUCUUUUUUUUUCCUUUUGUCACAUUUCUUUAUUUCUCUCCAACUGCUCUUCACUACCUCUCCGACAUCGCGAUAACGGUUUUCCGGCAAGGUACAUGAACAUCCUAUUAUUCCUCUGACUGACGCGUGGAGAUCGGAAAACCCCAGAGAUUACAUCGUGUUGAAUUCAGUGGUAGCCGUCUGUAUGAGUAUAAAGGGAAUGUCGAAUUUUCAUGAAGCAACAAGUUGUCAUCUGACCACCAGGCAGCAGACUAGCGGUCAUUUCACCAUGAAGGCAUGCUUGUGGCUCACUCUGCUAUCCGUCGUCCCCGUAGCAUGUGAGUCUGCAGUAUGUCCUAAUUCGACGCGUUGCGUGUAAUAAAAGCUAGCUAACUAGCAAUAUGAUGACGUUGAAGUGUCGCACUAGUGUGGCAGUUUGAUCACACUAGGAAACAUUAGGAACUUGGUUGGGGCCGGCAGACGACACUUCACGUGACGUUUCCAGGAAGCAAAUCCAUGUGGGAAAGUCAGAGUAAAUUAUUUGCACUAGCGUCUGUCGCGUUGUAAGCAAAAUAUUCUCUUUGUAAAAUUAUAAUGAUUGUGUUCUGAUUCAUAUGCCAUCUUUUCCACACGUUAACUUAAAACAGCAAGGAGAAGGAAUAGAAAGCACUAGGGUCCUCUGGAGCAUAAGCGGAGUGAAUUUCCAAGUGUACCACGAGACACUAAAUUGACGUCAUGGGCGCACUAUUAACGGCGUUAUCUAUCGGUUACGAACGCAUUCAAAUCAUCAUUUUUUUUUUGUAUUCCACUCAUUGCACUAUCAGCGGCGAAAACAAACAUGCCAAAUGGGAUCGUAUUUCCCAGCACGUAUUAUAGAACCUAUAUUAUGUUUUAAUUGGCAUUACCGCAACAACAAUUUACAUUAGCUUUUAUGGAUAUUAAAAGAACAGUUGUUCUAAUACAUUCUUCUUGUUGUUGUUUUUUCAUAUGCAACGAAGAUGGCGCAACAUUGUGAGUAUUUGUGUUGACGUUGUAUAUCAAACGACAAGAAAAUUUUACGCCCGAAUAUUGUACUUAUCUGGGGCACUUUAUUUCUUUUGUAGAGCGCCGCAGGUGGUUUUGGCUAAGCCUGUUCUUCCUAAAGAAGCUGAAGCAGAUGCACUUGAGAAAACUGGAAAGACCCUGGAGACAGUGGGACGGCUUCUGCAAGGGGAAAAUGUCACCUUAAACGAGGAGAUGCAAGAAGAUUUGGUGAACGCUCUUCUGGAAGCGUCUUACAAUGGCGAAGUCUUGACUGAGGCCGGUUCCGAGUACAUGGCGCCAGUUGGUGUUAUUCGUCGUGCUGUUCAGGUUGCCAUCGCCCACUUUGUCAAGAAGUUGAACAAGGGCUAAGGACGCUGUCCGUGAAGAACUACUACGCGUUAACUAACGUGUGAUAAAAAAACACUACCAGGUAUUGCUGAGUCAGUUACAUGCUGAUGAUUUGUAGAUUCACAUGAUACGGCAUGAAAUAAAAUCUUUGCUGCGUGCAUUAAGUUUCA
Dermacentor andersoni is the source of this 1665-nucleotide long non-coding RNA. RefSeq lists it as uncharacterized. The record is from RefSeq and is a predicted model, not a curated record. NCBI's taxonomy places the organism in Eukaryota, Metazoa, Arthropoda, Arachnida, Ixodida, Ixodidae.